GCCGGGCGUGGUGGCGCUGUAGUCCCAGCUACUCGGGAGGCUGAGGUGGGAGGAUCGCUUGAGUCCAGGAGUUCUGGGCUGCAGUGGGCUAUGCCGAUCGGGUGUCCGCACUAAGUUCGGCAUCAAUAUGGUGACCUCCCGGGAGCGGGGGACCACCAGGUUGCCUAAGGAGGGGUGAACCCGCCCAGGGCGGAAACGGAGCAGGUCAAAACUCCCGUGCUGAUCAGUAGUGGGAUCGCGCCUGUGAAUAGCCACUGCACUCCAGCCUGGGCAAUAUAGUGAGACCCUGUCUCUU
This is a non-coding RNA of Cavia porcellus (domestic guinea pig), 295 nucleotides long. It matches the Rfam family "Metazoan signal recognition particle RNA". From Rfam's summary of the family: The signal recognition particle (SRP) is a universally conserved ribonucleoprotein. It is involved in the co-translational targeting of proteins to membranes. The record is from Rfam. Lineage: Eukaryota; Metazoa; Chordata; Mammalia; Rodentia; Caviidae.